Molecule: long non-coding RNA, 527 nt
Filed under: Salmo salar (Atlantic salmon)
Lineage: Eukaryota; Metazoa; Chordata; Actinopteri; Salmoniformes; Salmonidae
Description: lncRNA (ENSSSAG00000110938.1)
Source: RNAcentral
GGUAAACCUACAGGAGGGUAGCGCUCCAGGAACAGCUUGGAGAGCCCUGGGCUAUAGUAACAGAACAGCCUCAACUCGUCAGGGCACGGACUUUACAAGGUGUCGAAAGCAUUCCACAGGGAUCCUGGCCCAUGUUGACUCCAAUGCUUCCACACUUGUGUCAAGUUGGCUGGAUGUCCUUUGGUGGCUGUACAAUAUGGAAUGUGGGAUGAGGGAUGAAGUGCAAAGGAUCAGUCUCUUCUCACAUAUGACAGACCUCUCCACACAUAAGAAAGUUUUGCUAAUGGGGAUUUCCCUUGCGCCUGAUCAAGCACCUUUUCAACAAUUUUGGUGAAGCCCUCAUUGAAGCGACAGCAUAUGUUGCCUACUGGAGAGUAGAUGCAAUCCACCUCAUACAACUGUAGAAAGGGCCAGAGAAGGAGAGAGACAGACAUAUUCCGUAAUACAUCUUUAGACGUCAUGUUGAUUCUUUAAUGCCUGAAAUUAAUAAAAUGUUUUAAGCUGCCUUCUUGAGUUGUCGAAGUAUU